This 226-nucleotide long non-coding RNA is filed under the name Brassica napus (rape). Its description in RNAcentral is "long non-coding RNA (BNAP_LNC000890)". The record is from RNAcentral. Lineage: Eukaryota; Viridiplantae; Streptophyta; Magnoliopsida; Brassicales; Brassicaceae.
UUGGUUGUUAAGCUAGGAUAUUGCAUAAUGUGCUUUUGUGAUUAGGACUUUUUAGAUGUGGUUUGCGAUAUUGUAGAGGUGAUGAUUUUUAUGUGUUAAAUCUGUGAGUACCUGCUGUUUUCAUACCGGUUUUAGAGAGAUUGCAUGUUUGUUUUGCUUGACGACAAGCAAAAGGGUAAGUGUGGGGGAGUUGAUAUACCAUGGAUUUGACCCAUUUUCAUCUAUG